UACGGAGGGUGCGAGCGUUGUCCGGAUUCACUGGGCGUAAAGGGCGCGUAGGCGGCUUGAUCAGUCGGAUGUGAAAGGCUGGGGCUUAUCCCUGGUGAGCAUACGGGACGGUUGAGCUGGAGCGUGGUAGAGGGGUAUGGAAUGCCGGGUGUAGUGGUGAAAUGCGUAGAUAUCCGGCGGAACACCGGUGGCGAAGGCGGUACCCUGGGCCAUAGCUGACGCUGAGGCGCGAGAGCGUGGGGAGCGAACCGG
Molecule: ribosomal RNA, 252 nt
Filed under: uncultured bacterium
Lineage: Bacteria
Description: partial 16S ribosomal RNA
Rfam family: Bacterial small subunit ribosomal RNA
Source: RNAcentral